RNAcentral lists this long non-coding RNA (1464 nucleotides) under Sus scrofa (pig). Its description in RNAcentral is "lncRNA (ENSSSCG00000060859.1)". Lineage: Eukaryota; Metazoa; Chordata; Mammalia; Artiodactyla; Suidae. The record is from RNAcentral.
GUAUUGAUGACGGAAAAGGGGAGCUGGUUACUUGCUUGCUGAAGAAAUGAAGGAAAACAUUAUGUUACCAUAAGACAAAACCUCCACCUGCUAGAUUAUCAUUCCUAAAACGAUCCUCGACUUUGUAUAAAAAGAAUUGCUUUGAUUUUGCCCUUCUUAGGACAGAAGUCAUCCAAAUUCUUCAUCUCCUCUCCCUCUGACAAUCGUCUGUCUUCCUCAGAAAUCUCCAUCGAGAAAUCAUACGCUGUGACAGCUGAUCCAGGCACGGAUCUUGGUCUGUUUCUAGACGACGAGGCACACAGCACAACACUGCAGACCCACGGCGAGCGUGUACUGUGUUAGCUUAGUGAGAGCCAUCGAGAGGAAGUCUACAGAAAGCGAGUAUCAGGAUGUAAGCAUUUGACAGAUCCAGCAACAAAAUUCUUUUGUUAGCUACCCUGAAGGGAGCUACUUUCAGAUUCCUGUUUCUUUCAAGCCAGCAACAAGCCUGGAGUCGUGUUUGGGACACAUCAUAGGUUCUAGUUUUCAGUCUUUCCUUGGAAAGCAACAUAAAGGGGAAAUAACCUGUGUCAAGUUUCUUUUACGUCCUGGGCUAUAGAUCAAAUACGCGUACGAAGACUACAUAAAGUUGGGUCACCGCGAGAGCAGCCAUUUCCAACGUGCUGCUCAAGGCUGCACCCAGAGCCUAGCGGGGCCCACCCGGAGCAGACGUCCAGUAACUCUCAGAGCUAAGAGGGCUGGGCAUUCGCCACUUGCUGUGCCCUGUUCUAAGCACUUCUCAUGUACUGAUUCUGGUUCUGACAGCCAUGCUAUAGAGUAAUAUAUCCAUUUUACAGAUGAAAAAACCAAGGCUAAGAGAGGUUCGGCAACUUGCCCCAAGUCACAUAGGAACUGGUAACUUUUUUUUUUUUUCAGGGCCACACCUGCAGCAUAGGGAAGUUCCCAGGCUAGGGGUCAAAUUGGAGCUAUAGUUUCUGGUCUACACCACAGGCACAGCAACAGGGAUCUGAGCAGCAUGUGCAACCUAUACCACAGCUCACAGCAACACCGGAUACUCAACCCACUCAGUGAGGCCAGGGAUCAAACUGCAUCCUCAUGGUCACUAGUUGGGAUCAGUACCAUUAAGCCGCAAUGGGAACUCCCAGGAACUGGUAACAUUCAAUACUGAGACGGCUCUGCGACUGAUGUAGGGGGCUUCUCCCAAAGCUACAGGGCUUGCCUUCCGUGGCACAGACAAAGCAGUACGUCUCUGCUCUUGCUCUGCAAAUCCCAGGUAAAGGCUUUCUCGCGCACUUCAGCUCUUGUUCUUCACAGCCCAGUACUAAUCAUCAGCCCAUCAUGCAGCGUAGAAUUGCCAACACCAUCCCGAUGAUGUAGUUAUUUCCAAUUGGCACUUGGGAGCAGUGAGGAUAGGAGGCAUUACUCAUAGCCAAGAGUACAGAUGUUUCUAAUUGCUUUCCAUUA